AUUUCAAUAGCUUAUAAUAGAGUAUAAUAUUGAAGAUAUUAAGGAAAAUAUGAUUUUUGAAAUA
Molecule: transfer RNA, 64 nt
Filed under: Macropsis notata
Lineage: Eukaryota; Metazoa; Arthropoda; Insecta; Hemiptera; Cicadellidae
Description: tRNA-Phe
Source: RNAcentral